This 250-nucleotide long non-coding RNA is filed under the name Malus domestica (apple). RNAcentral describes it as "long non-coding RNA (MDOM_LNC010189)". The record is from RNAcentral. Lineage: Eukaryota; Viridiplantae; Streptophyta; Magnoliopsida; Rosales; Rosaceae.
UUUGGAUGCAUGCCUAUAUUAAUGAGUUAAUAGUAUGCAUAUGUAAUCAGCCAGCACUUGGUAUCAAUCUUCCGAUCUAGAACCGACUGCCUGGAACCCCUUCCUGAUUGCUUACCUAGCCUUGCUCUCGAGUACUCAUCUUCAUCAUUUUAUGCUUCCGCUUCGUCUACCGCAUCAUAAGGGAAGUGAAAAUGAUACCUCGAAGCAUGUGGAGACAAUUUGCCAAUUCAUCCUCAGCUAGGGACAAGGA